AACGAACGCUGGCGGCAGGCUUAACACAUGCAAGUCGAACGAGAUCUUCGGAUCUAGUGGCAGACGGGUGAGGAACACGUGGGAGCAUCCCUUUCAGUUCGGAAUAACGUUGGGAAACUAACGCUAAUACCGGAUACGUCCUUCGGGAGAAAGAUUUAUCGCUGAAAGAUUGGCCCGCGUCUGAUUAGCUAGUUGGUGAGGUCACGGCUCACCAAGGCUACGAUCAGUAGCUGAUCUGAGAGGAUGAUCAGCCACAUUGGGACUGAGACACGGCCCAAACUCCUACGGGAGGCAGCAGUGGGGAAUAUUGGACAAUGGGCGCAAGCCUGAUCCAGCCAUGCCGCGUGAGUGAUGACGGCCUUCGGGUUGUAAAGCUCUUUUGUCCGGGAAGAUAAUGACUGUACCGGAAGAAUAAGCCCCGGCAAACUUCGUGCCAGCAGCCGCCGUAA
Molecule: ribosomal RNA, 449 nt
Filed under: uncultured bacterium
Lineage: Bacteria
Description: partial 16S ribosomal RNA
Rfam family: Bacterial small subunit ribosomal RNA
Source: RNAcentral